RNAcentral lists this unclassified non-coding RNA (1901 nucleotides) under Portunus trituberculatus (swimming crab). RNAcentral describes it as "glycine cleavage system H protein-like, transcript variant X1". Lineage: Eukaryota; Metazoa; Arthropoda; Malacostraca; Decapoda; Portunidae. The record is from RNAcentral.
AGAGUUGCAGUGCAGCAGCUGGGCGCGAGUCGUGUUGGCCGGCACACGACGGUCAGUGUGUGCAGGGACUUCACAAUGGCUAGGGUACUGCUCAGCACCGUGCGCUCCUAUACUCUCAAACUCUCCGCAUUGCAGCUUCCAAGGAGCACCUGUGUCUGGAAGAACACUGCCAAACAUUUCAGCACCACACACCGCCAGUUGUCAAAUUACAAGUACACAGAGAAGCAUGAGUGGGUGGCUGUUGAUGGCAAUAUUGGCACCAUUGGGAUUACAAAUUAUGCUCAGGAAGCUUUGGGAGACAUAGUCUAUGCCCAACUACCAGAGGUGGAGACCCAGUAUGAACAAAUGGAGGAGUGUGGUGCCUUGGAGAGUGUGAAGGCUGCCAGUGAGCUGUAUUGUCCAGUGUCAGGGAAGGUCACUGAGAUCAACACAGCUGUGGAGGACCAGCCGUCACUCAUAAACAAGAGCUGCUAUGAUGAAGGUUGGUUAUUUAAGUUGGAAUUGACAGCUCCAUCAGAAAUUGAUGAACUGAUGGAUGAAGCAGCUUAUGAAAAGUUCUUGAAGGACAGUGAAGAGUAAGAGCAGCAAACAAGCAAGGCACAAGAGCAGCACCUACUACCAAGCCACUGGGCAUGGGGCACUCAUGAUGAUGUUCCUUCUUUUGUCAAAUAUUCACUCAACAUCUUUGAAGUAUCUGCGGGUUUGUUUGAUGUGUAGCUGUGGGAAUGUCUUCAUUUAUCUUUUGGUUAUUUCCAUUCUGCUCUUAUGUGAUCCCAUCAAAGAGAUGCAUUGUAUCAAACAGAUUUCCUGUUGUGGGUAAGGGAAAUCCUGUUUUUUAUGGUUUGUAAAUGUAUAGAAAUUAUGAUGAAAAGAUUAUUUCUGCUUCAUUAUAAUUCAUUUUCUUUUGAUAAAUAUCUACUAGCUACUAAUGCUGCUGGUAUUUCCAUCCUAUUAGAAAAACUGUUACCUUAUUUCUUAUGAGUGACACACUGAAUAAUAGCUAUCUUCAUUUCCUGAAUAUCUAUUUUGCAGUAUGAGUAUGGUCUUUAGCUACAUCAUGUCACAUAGAUGUACAUACUCUGUCAAGUGCAUGCCUUGGUUUGAUGUGCAGGACAAACACAAAAGAGUGAAAUUCAAGCACAUUUGAAUACUCUCAGUACAUAGCAAACACUUGAACAAAUUAAGCAGUGUUGUUCCAAAGGUACAUAAACUUGUGAUUCUCUUCACUCUUACCUACUUGAUCACAUGAGGAAACAUGUGAAUCAUCAUUGUUAUGAAUUGCAGCUCAAAUAAGGUGAGUGGGUUGCCUUAAGCUGUAGUGUACCAUUAUCUUGUUGACCUGCCGUGUAAGGCUCACCUUUGUGUUGUUUGGUGGUGUUGGUGCAAUUUCUGUGUUGAUGGUUUUCAAGUAUAUUAAAAUUUGUAGAGAUUUAAUACAAUUCAACAGGAACUUUUUUUUGUAUAUAAUGGGUUAUUUUGUUUUGUUUUAUUAUAAUUAUUUUUUGCACUAGUUGUUGAUACACUGGAAAUGACAGUGACAACAUUUCAAAAUGUUUUACUGGCAUGUCAGUUGCAUUUAAAUGUUAGUAAUACUCUGUAGCUAGUGCACCUUGCACAUGAAUAAGAAAAGCAGUAAACAUUGAUUGACAGGACAAUGACUUGACAAAUGUGGGCUUUAUUGUGGAAAUGAGAUGUCAUAUUUUUAUGAAUGUGAUAUACAGAUAGGACCCAUUACUGGUGUUAUCUUCAUUGUGGAUCAUUACCAAGAGUUAUCUGAAAUCCUCAAAACAGUGUUACACCACCAUCACAUUCCCUCUUUGUUAUCACAUGGUAGUUAAGCUGUAAUCAUAAUCUACGAAGAUACUCUGCUGCAACAUUUAUUUAAAGGGUUUCUGUAAUUG